Molecule: long non-coding RNA, 2688 nt
Organism: Carya illinoinensis
Lineage: Eukaryota; Viridiplantae; Streptophyta; Magnoliopsida; Fagales; Juglandaceae
Exons: 5
Source: RefSeq, a predicted model, not a curated record
UCACCUAUGAUUUGAGAAGCCAAUGGCGUGGCAAUGACGACAAGAGAAGAGUUUGAGAGGCCAUCACGGCAGAGCUGGAUUUAACGCACAAGGGAAGAGGCGGGAUGGGCAAAUUAAAUGGCGGGAUGGUAAAACCAAAAGUAUUUGUUCCAGGUGCCAAGGGUCACUUCCAAUAGUACCAUCAGCAGACCUGGCUAAGCUGGCUUAUUUUUAGAUCAAAUGAGCUGGCGAUAGAAGAUUAGGUAGUUUGCUGGAGGAAAGUAGAAGCACUCAAGCUUUCUUCAUUACCAUCAGAAAACCAGUGGCACUACCUUGCAGCCUUCUUCUCUUUUCUUCAUUAGCUUCUCUUUUCUUCCAGCUUGCUAAACAACUAUUUGUUGUUAGGUCCUACUUGGGCUCCCUUCCACUGAGAAGAGAAGUUCUCUUGACCUCUGCCACGCAACCCAGAGGUGACCAGUCCUAUGAAUUCCAGAAAGGCAAGCAUGUGACAAUCUGUAAGGGGGGAAGGAGGGGGUGAGGUGGACACUCAAGAACACAAUCAUCUGCACGUAGCAGCCCGGAUGCACAAGGAUUGCCUUGGAGAAGGAAUUUAGGGGAUGAGGCGGACCCACUUUCAAAUGAAUCGACUCAAGCAGUAGCAGGUGUUGGAGUACAAGAGUCCAUGGGUGUCAAAUAGGGUGGAGAGGGGAAUAAUACUAUGGAUAUAGUUCCAUCCAUUAAGAAAUGGGGCCGAGGGCCUACGCGGGGCACACAAUUUGAACACCUCUAGAAGGUGGGUAAGAUUCCUUUGCUUAUAAAGGAGGGUCAUAGAGGCCCAUCGUGCGAGAAUGCCUCCAUCUUCAUUGGUCGAGUGACAUAAAUCAUCAAAUUAUAUGCCGAAAUGAGGCAUGCAAGCUAGAGUUCUAUACCUAAGGAGGAGAAGCAAGAGUUAAUUAAUCAUGUUAGGGUGGACUUUGUGUUGGAUUGGACAAAAGACCACUAUCAUGAAAUUGAGGUAAUGUAUAUGUCCGAUAAGUACAAUGCAUAUUACUAUGAACUACACAAAGUUUAAUUAAAAUAUGCAUCGCAUGAGAAGGCCCUAUGUGGUGAGACAUCCAUGGUGGAGCAACCUGUUUGGUAGUGGCUAUGUGAAAGUUGGGCCAGCGGAACAUUCAAGGUAUAUGGGUAUUAGUAUAUAUAUUUGAAUAAAAACUAGUGGCAAUUUAAGUUGCAUUUGUUUUUGUUUAUAUGUACAUUCAGGUGGGAUUUAUUUUGCUACCUUUUUAAUUCCGAGCAGUAAGAUAAUAUUUUGGGACUUGAUAUAACAAUAAAAUGUGUAACAGGAGAAGUCUUGAGAAACAUUACAAAUAGGAAAAAACUUAAGGUGAAACAUACAGGCAGAAGGAAAUCAUUUGUUAGGAUUUUGAAAGAGAAGGUAAGAGCGGUUUCUGAUUUAUAAUUCAAGUUAUGGAAUUGUAUCUAAUGAGCUAUAACUGUUAAUGAUGUGUGGCAGUGGGAGACAGCACCAAAUAUGGUCGCUUUCUAUAAAGAAACACACUAGUUAAGGCAGAAGGACAAAUUUAUCAAUGCCACAACUGAACACAAUUAUGUGAACUUUCUCAUGUUUGAUUUAAUUUUUGUUGGACUAUAUACUGCAUUAAAAUAUCUAUACUGAUUUUCUUUCAUAUGAUAUUUAGAAUCUAAUGGUGGAGAAAUUGGCUGAGAAAGACCUCGAAGAGGACGUUGAUGAAGCGGCCUUAGUUGUUUUCAAAGACGUUUUAGGGUUUAGAUUUGGGUACGCACAAGGGAUGGGGCACAUGGUCAUUAUCGAUCCCUCUCCUUCAAUGAUGAAGAACAAGGCAUUUAUGCAUUUGGCUGAGCAGAAUGAAUGAAACAAGACUUGUGUAGAAAUGUAUAAGAGUAAACUAGACCAAAUUAUGGGUGAUAUGGCUGACAUGAGGAGAAAUUUUUCUGAGUAUGAGAAAGGAAUGAACUUCCAAAUGUCUGAGUUGGAGGGAAAUAGUGAGGCUCAUAGAGAGACUUAGGGAGAUGCUUGGGCAUCUCUAUUGCUGGAAGUAGGUUGAUUUUUUGUGGAUUUUUUUUGUGGAUUGUAUCAAUCCAAUGGCCAUGGUAGUUUGUAGAGAGGCAAAUAUUUUGAUGUGCAGUGUGGGAAGUUUUCCAUAGGGAAUCAAAUUUUUGGAAGUGGAAGGGAAAUGGUGGCUUCAGCUCAUGAAUGGGUCUGGUUUUAGGAAGUGUGUAUGAUCUGACUUUUGGAUAUGGGGAAGUGAUUUCACAACAGUGACACUAUGCUCUUAUGAUAUUUCUGGAUUAAGAGGCAUAGCUGUACAUAUGAAUGGAGAUGAAUUGGAGCAAACAAGAGAAGCGAUGAUGUGUAUAGAGCUAGAGUAAUGUGUCUAGAAUGCAAAAUAUGUAUACAUGUAGUCAGGCACAUGUGCACUACUCCCCCUAUUUGUUAUGUAAUCUGGUUCAAUGGCUCCGGUACAAGAUUUGUUAUAUUAAUUACUAACCAUGUAGGCUUCCCUUGGGCACUACUCCCCCUAUUUGCAAACAUUGAUGUAUAUAGUCAUGACCUUGAUUGACUGGUACUUAAGCCAGUGGAAAGAAGUGUAAAACAAUCAUUUAAAUUCUGUUAUAUAUGGAUGUUGAGGAAAAUUAUGUCGUUGGUGAAUUAUUCAGGUGUUGGUUUUC